Molecule: ribosomal RNA, 418 nt
Filed under: Gammarus desperatus (Bitter Lakes amphipod)
Lineage: Eukaryota; Metazoa; Arthropoda; Malacostraca; Amphipoda; Gammaridae
Description: partial 16S ribosomal RNA
Rfam family: Bacterial large subunit ribosomal RNA (bases 127-418)
Source: RNAcentral
GUGCUAAGGUAGCAUAAUCAUUUGUUUUUUAAUUGAUAACUGGAAUGAAAGGUUGCUCUUAUUUUAAUUUUUGUAAAACUUAAAUAAUAAAUUAAAGUUAGGGUAAGAAUUCUUUAAUUUUCUAGGGGACGAUAAGACCCUAGAAGCUUAAUAUAGAGUUGUACUUAUAGAAAAAGUUGAUUAUUUAUUUUACUGGGGCGGUAGUAAUAAACUUACUAUUUGCUUAAAAAAGAUCUUUAAAAUUAAGAUAAUUGGGAUUAGUUACUCUAGGGAUAACAGUGCAAUUUUUUUAGAAAGACCUUAUUGAUGAAUAAGUUUGCAACCUCGAUGUUGAAUUAAGAUGUCUAAGUGAGGUAAAAGGUACUAAAGAAGGUUUGUUCCCAACCUUUAAAGUCUUACAUGAUCUGAGUUCAAACCG